GGGAAAGGCUCUCACCAACCCUUUUUCUGGCGCUGAUGCCCAGGCUGGACUCAAACUCAUGUGUUCACGCGAUCCUCCUUUAACUAGGAUUAGAUACCCUAUUAUUAAAAACUUAAUUUAUUAAACUAAAAUAUUAAAUAAUUAAUUAUUGAAACUUAAAUAAUUUGGCGGUAUUUUAGUUCAUUUAGAGGAAUCUGUUUAAUAAUUGAUAUUCCACGAAUAAAUUUACUUAAUUUAUUAUUUUAUAUAUCGUUGUUAAAAAAAUAUUUUUAAAUAAAAAUAAUAUUUUAAAAUUUAAAUUAAAAAUUAGUUCAAAUCAAGAUGUAGAUUAUAAUUAAGAAUAUAAUGGAUUACAAUAAAAUUAUUUAAAUGAAUAUUAUUUUGUAAUAAAUAAUUAAAAGUGGAUUUAAAUGUAAUUUUAUAAAUUUUAAUAAAAUGAUUAACUCCAU
RNAcentral lists this ribosomal RNA (449 nucleotides) under Choaspes benjaminii (Indian awkling). RNAcentral describes it as "partial 12S ribosomal RNA". The record is from RNAcentral. Lineage: Eukaryota; Metazoa; Arthropoda; Insecta; Lepidoptera; Hesperiidae.